Homo sapiens (human) is the source of this 2254-nucleotide long non-coding RNA. Ensembl annotates it as POLR1H antisense, pseudogene. Its record names the gene POLR1HASP. The record is from Ensembl. Lineage: Eukaryota; Metazoa; Chordata; Mammalia; Primates; Hominidae.
GAACCGUGUCUCGGGAGCGUUAGAGAUGGAGACUAACGUCUUCCAAGGGAGAUUGCGUCUCCACUUUCACCCUGGUACUGAGAGGUUGAGCACAAAAUUGGAACGCAGUCGCGGGGUAUAUCCCCCUGAAAACCGUACGUUGCCAAAUAAUGAUUUCUUUGGAUUAGAGAACUACAACUCCCCUGGGUCCUGAGCCGGUAUUUCCCUUUUGCGGCUGCACCGUAGUUAAAAACAAAGCUAAGUGUUCUGGGACGUAUAGUUCUAGCGUUCCUUGGGUCCCGCUGGCGAGCGUGGGCUUUCUGCAGCUCGCAACCGGCCUCGUGCUUUGCGGACGGUUCACUGCGCUUGGAAAGGGAUUGGCCUGGGGUACAUCAUCUAAAGAUCCUAGGAUUGCUGCAGGUCAGCAGUCUCCACUGGAAAAAAAGAUCUUGCAUGUAUUUCAAGUCCUCUGAUGAAUCAUGUGAUCUACUAGACCCUGAAGAUACAGUGAAGAGCAAAAGAACACAGAUGAAAUGAGAAACAAAAACGAUGGAGAAAACCAAAAAAGGGGACACAUGGGAUCCAGGCAAUAGGAGAGCCAGCAUAAGAGAGAGCCAGAGGGAUGCCCAGGAUGAGGUGAAGACGAUCUUGGAAAUCAGCCCAGAUGUGCAUGCACCAGUCCACGUGUGGCAGGACCAAGGGAAGUGUCUUCACAAAGAUGAGGCUUUGAUUUGUUGGAGAAACUGUUACCAGAAAAACAGGUCCCGAUCCCGACCCCAAAAGAGUAUUCUUGGAUCUUGCACAGGAAGGAAUUAAAGCCUCAUUUGGCCACAGGCCCAGUGUCAACACCAGGGGGCGCCACAGACCAUGAAGGCACCGUGCAGCUGGGAUUGUUUGUGGUCGGCUACUGGGUCCCUGACUUAACCAGGGGAGCCAAGACCCUGUAGCCAAGUGGCCUGGAUUCAACCUGCAGCUCAGGUCUUACUGACACUUCUCCCCCUGGUGCCUCAGUUUCUUAAUCUGUGAAAUGGUGAGGACAUUACAGCAUUUACCUCUGGGGCGGGUUUCUCAACAGCAGCACUAUUAACAAUUUGGGACAGAGAAUCUUGUGGAGUGGUCUGUCCUGUGCAUUGUGGGAGGUUUGCCAGCAACACCCCACUCACCCCCUCCCACCAAUCCCCAUGUGACAACCGAAAAUGUCCCAGGAUUUUUAGGUCUCCCUUGGGUCUAGAAGCUGCACUUAGGCAUUUUCCCACCUGACACUUGAGUUCAUCUCUGCUUUGGUCCACAUAAGGCCACUUUAAAAAAAUGUUGUUUCUUUAAAGAUUCUAACCAUCUUUUAAACAAAUCCAUUUUCUUCCUCUAUUUCUGCAUUCAGUUAAUCCUUCCAAACCCUUUGUUUAGUAUAUCUUGAAAUGUAUCAAUUCCUGUUCUAGUAAUUAACAUAUGUGACUUGCAUGAUAUCUGCUAUGACCCUUAGUAGAGCUCUGAUUCCUUUAGCACAGGGAAUGUGUUCUCGAUUCUGCUCUGGAUGAUGUAAAUCAAUUUAUUUUACUUUACUUGUCUGGGAUGUUGCUCCUCAUCUGUAAGAUGUAAAUGUGGAUAUGGCUUGGAUUACUAAGUGGUUUUAUUUCUUAAUUCACCUGACAUUUGUUGUGUGCCUGCUGCAAGUCAAAUACAUGGCAUGGUAUUGUUUCCUUGUUCACACCACAGCAAAUGAGAAAAUGAGACAUUAUAGCCAGGUGUGGCGGCACAGGCUUGUGGUCCUAGCUACUCGGAAGGCUGAGGCAGGAGAAUUGCUCCAGCCCAGGAGUUUGAGGUUACAGUAAGGUAUGAUAUCACCAUUGCAUUUCAACCUGGGCAACAGACCCUGUCUCUGAAAAAAGGGAAAAAGACCUUGUGAGCUGUCUACGUGUACUCUAUGUCUCAGGAGACUCAUAUCCUGUAAUUUUUCUAAAUGGCGUCUCCAUGUGGUCUUUCAUGAAUGUUUGUCUGGUAUUCUCUAUCCUUUUACUUUCAACUUUUCUUUACCUUCUACUGAAAUUAUGUCUUUUGUAAACAGCCCAUGAUUAUUUAUUUAGUUAUUUAUUUUUACCCCCCUGCACUAUUUGUCUUGUAAUUGGAGUGUCUGAGUCCAUUAUGUUUAAUGUAAUUAUUGACCUCAUUGGGUUUAAGUCUGUCCAUUGUCAUUUGCUGCCUUCUAAUAUUAUCUCUUUCUUGCUCAACUAUUUUUCUUAUGUUACCUUCUUUAGAUGAAUAAAAACCUUUGCAUUAU